RNAcentral lists this long non-coding RNA (1496 nucleotides) under Linum usitatissimum (flax). RNAcentral describes it as "long non-coding RNA (LUSI_LNC005586)". The record is from RNAcentral. Lineage: Eukaryota; Viridiplantae; Streptophyta; Magnoliopsida; Malpighiales; Linaceae.
CGUUUCAAAUUUUAGAAUUUUAAUUAAAUGGACGAAAAUAAAUUAAAAAUUAAAAAUAUUAAUUUUACAAACAAAUUCUAACCUAUGGUUAAUCACUUCCCCCACGUGUCAACACCUCACCCCUGCCUUGCAUCGUCAUCAUCAUCUUCAUUCGUAUAAAUAGGAUUUCUACCAGCAACAAUCAGGGCACAAAAAAAGCACUCCUAAAAUCCCUAAGACAAAAUUUAAUCAUGAACUCUAAUCUCAAACUCUCCAAUUCCUCCAUAUCCUCUAAAGUUAUUCCAGCUCCAAAAAUCUCUAACAGUCUCAUAGAGCUCUCUAUCAUUCUUCUUCUUCUUCCUUCGCCAAUGCACUUUCCUCCACCUCUCUAUCCUUGCCAAAGAACCAAAAGAACAAAAAAAAACAACAAUAAGUUAAUAGUAGAGUAAGCACAUCAUAAACAGUUUGGGUUUCACAUAUAUAAAUACUUGAGUUUUGAAACUUUGUGUUACGAAGUUCAACUAUUCUUGUAUACGAGGAACCUAAUUCCAUAGGUUUCUAUAAAUCUAAUGACUAUAUAUUUAACUUUUACUUAUCUAUGUGUGCUAACACUAACUCUUAACACUACUAAGUAAUGUUCCUAUUUCAUCUUUCACUUCCUAAGCAUUGUAUUCUCAUACAGUCAAUCAUCAUUUAUGUUUAAUAAUUGUAUGUCAGUUAUAAUGUUUAUGUGUUGAGUGAGCUUGCGAGCAUUGUAUAGAUCGAAGCACGUGGUUCGAUUGGGUCGUUUAGGGGUGGGUUUCACAACAGACAUUAGAGACUGGGUAUUUUUUUAUGUUUGGAAAUAGGGAUUUCAUCAAAAAAUUAAGAUAAAACUUUUUACCUUACUAUUUUUUCCCUUUCUGUCUGUUUCCUCUCCGGCCCUCGGCAACGAAAUUUUUAUUAUUAUUAUCAUUGCUCUUCUUUUCUCCACCGAUCCCCAACUCUACUGAAAACAGAAACUAAAAUAAAGACAACAAAAAUCAGAGAACGACCAUAAAAGUCAAAAACUCAAACCCUAUAUCUACAAAUCGGGAUUUGCAAAUGACAUGCAAGCUCCAUAUCGAAGUAAAAACGGGGAAAAAAACAUGAGUAGGAAGAACGGUUUAUGUUUUUACCUUUUNNNNNNNNNNNNNNGAACGGUUUAUGUUUUUACCUUUUCUUCUUUUUUCUAUUUUCUUCCUUUGACGUUGUGAGAGAAGAGAGCAGACAGAGGAGCCGCCGUGAAAAUAAAAGGAAAAAAGAGGACAGAAAAGAGAGAGGCCGAAAAAGAAAGACAGAAAAAAGAGAAAAAAAAAAGAAAAAAAGAGGAGAGGCGGCAGCGACGGAGGAGAGGAAAAAGGAGGGAGAUAAAGAAGGAAGAAGGAAAAAAAAGGAAGAAAAGGGGAGGAAAAAAAGAGAAAAAAGGGGAGAAGAAGCGACGACGUUGGAGGAGAAGGACAAAGAAGAGAGAAGAGAGAGGAUUUGGGAGAAAAAGA